This 406-nucleotide ribosomal RNA is filed under the name uncultured bacterium. RNAcentral describes it as "partial 16S ribosomal RNA". It matches the Rfam family "Bacterial small subunit ribosomal RNA", at positions 30 to 526 of the family's 1533-position model. The record is from RNAcentral.
AUUGAACGCUGGCGGCAGGCCUAACACAUGCAAGUCGAGCGAGCGGCGGACGGGUGAGUAAUGUCUGGGAAACUGCCUGAUGGAGGGGGAUAACUACUGGAAACGGUAGCUCAUACCGCGUACCAUCACAUGUGCCCAGAUGGGAUUGGCUAGUAGGUGGGGUAAUGGCUCACCAAGGCGACGAUCCCUAGCUGGUCUGAGAGGAUGAUCAGCCACACUGGAACGGAGACACGGUCCAGACUCCUACGGUAGGCAGCAGUGGGGAAUAUUGCAAAAUGGGCGCAAGCCUGAUGCAGCCAUGCCGCGUGUGUGAAGAAGGCCUUCGGGUUGUAAAGUACUUUCAGCGAGGAGGCGUUACUCGCAGAAGAAGCACCGGCUAACUCCGUGCCAGCAGCCGCGGUAAUAC